UUCUAUGGCCAUACCACUCUGAAAUGUGCCCGAACUCAACAGAUCUCAGAAGCUAAGCAGGGUUGGGCCUAGUUAGUACUUGAAUGGGAUAAAAU
Molecule: ribosomal RNA, 95 nt
Filed under: Aotus nancymaae (Ma's night monkey)
Lineage: Eukaryota; Metazoa; Chordata; Mammalia; Primates; Aotidae
Source: RNAcentral